The submitters of this non-coding RNA (75 nucleotides) gave its source as unclassified sequences. The record is from Rfam.
GUCCGCUUCCUUGCUUGCACCCGUCCGGGUGGGCUACGACCCCUGAGGUAGAGGAAGCAACCAUUUCAAAGAGGC